UACGAAGGUGGCAAGCGUUAUUCGGAUUUACUGGGCGUACAGGGAGCGUAGGCGGUUCGGUAAGCCCUCUGUGAAAUCUUCAGGCUUAACCUGGAAAAGUCGGAGGGGACUGCCGGGCUAGAGGAUGGGAGAGGAGCGCGGAAUUCCCGGUGUAGCGGUGAAAUGCGUAGAGAUCUGGAGGAACACCGAUGGCGAAGGCAGCCCCCUGGGCC
This 212-nucleotide ribosomal RNA is filed under the name uncultured prokaryote. Its description in RNAcentral is "partial 16S ribosomal RNA". It matches the Rfam family "Bacterial small subunit ribosomal RNA", at positions 524 to 735 of the family's 1533-position model. The record is from RNAcentral.